UACGUAGGUGGCAAGCGUUGUCCGGAAUUAUUGGGCGUAAAGCGCGCGCAGGCGGCCUCUUAAGUCAGACGUGAAAGCCCCCGGCUCAACCGGGGAGGGCCGUUGUAAACUGGGAGGCUAGAGUGUAGGAGAGAAGAGUGGAAUUCCACGUGUAGCGGUGAAAUGCGUAGAGAUGUGGAGGAACACCAGUGGCGAAGGCGUCUCUUUGGCAUAUAACUGACGCUGAGGCGCGAAAGCGUGGGGAGCAAACAGG
RNAcentral lists this unclassified non-coding RNA (253 nucleotides) under uncultured Caryophanales bacterium. Its description in RNAcentral is "uncultured Bacillales bacterium contains 16S-23S intergenic spacer region". It matches the Rfam family "Bacterial small subunit ribosomal RNA", at positions 524 to 776 of the family's 1533-position model. Lineage: Bacteria; Bacillati; Bacillota; Bacilli; Caryophanales. The record is from RNAcentral.